RNAcentral lists this ribosomal RNA (404 nucleotides) under uncultured bacterium. RNAcentral's name for it is "bacterial SSU rRNA". It matches the Rfam family "Bacterial small subunit ribosomal RNA", at positions 355 to 776 of the family's 1533-position model. The record is from RNAcentral.
UGGGGAAUAUUGCACAAUGGGGGAAACCCUGAUGCAGCGACGCCGCGUGAGUGAAGAAGUAUUUCGGUAUGUAAAGCUCUAUCAGCAGGGAAGAAAAUGACGGUACCUGACUAAGAAGCCCCGGCUAACUACGUGCCAGCAGCCGCGGUAAUACGUAGGGGGCAAGCGUUAUCCGGAUUUACUGGGUGUAAAGGGAGCGUAGACGGUUGUGCAAGUCAGAAGUGAAAGCCCGGGGCUCAACUCCGGGACUGCUUUUGAAACUGUGUAACUGGAGUGCUGGAGAGGUAAGUGGAAUUCCUAGUGUAGCGGUGAAAUGCGUAGAUAUUAGGAGGAACACCAGUGGCGAAGGCGGCUUACUGGACAGUAACUGACGUUGAGGCUCGAAAGCGUGGGGAGCAAACAGG